GAGGAUAUAGCUCAGUGGUAGAGUGUGUGCUUAGCAUACAUGAGGUCCUGGGUUCAAUCCCCAGUACCUCCA
This 72-nucleotide transfer RNA is filed under the name Camelus bactrianus (Bactrian camel). It matches the Rfam family "tRNA". Rfam says of the family: Transfer RNA (tRNA) molecules are approximately 80 nucleotides in length. Their secondary structure includes four short double-helical elements and three loops (D, anti-codon, and T loops). Further hydrogen bonds mediate the characteristic L-shaped molecular structure. tRNAs have two regions of fundamental functional importance: the anti-codon, which is responsible for specific mRNA codon recognition, and the 3' end, to which the tRNAs corresponding amino acid is attached (by aminoacyl-tRNA synthetases). tRNAs cope with the degeneracy of the genetic code in two manners: having more than one tRNA (with a specific anti-codon) for a particular amino acid; and 'wobble' base-pairing, i.e. permitting non-standard base-pairing at the 3rd anti-codon position. RNAcentral also lists the same sequence under 2 other names. The record is from Rfam by way of RNAcentral. Lineage: Eukaryota; Metazoa; Chordata; Mammalia; Artiodactyla; Camelidae.